This is a non-coding RNA of Paramuricea clavata, 381 nucleotides long. The record is from the annotation of a GenBank genome assembly. NCBI's taxonomy places the organism in Eukaryota, Metazoa, Cnidaria, Anthozoa, Malacalcyonacea, Plexauridae.
CUGCAUGUUUUGUAUGUAUUGCGCAUUUGAAUCUAAUAUCUCCGUAGGCUAUAAAGGUGGAUUUACACUACUGUGAUGCACUACACAACUUUUGCCUAAAACUGUCACAUGCAACCUGCUCAUGACUUAAGUUGUACUGUGUAAAUCAAGCACACAGCUAGGCGACGUUGUUCUAGGCGACGUUGUUCUAGGCGACGUUGUUCUAGGCGACGUUGUUCUAGGCGACGUUGUUCUAGGCGACGUUGUUCUAGGCGACGUUGUUCUAGGCGACGUUGUUCUAGGCGACGUUGUUCUGGGCGACGUUGUUCUAGGCGACGUUGUUGAAGGUGACUUGUCUGCUUGAUUUACACAGUACAAUUCAAGUUGUAAACAUGUUGCGCG